Molecule: ribosomal RNA, 424 nt
Filed under: uncultured bacterium
Lineage: Bacteria
Description: bacterial SSU rRNA
Rfam family: Bacterial small subunit ribosomal RNA
Source: RNAcentral
AGGGAAUCUUCCGCAAUGGACGAAAGUCUGACGGAGCAACGCCGCGUGAGUGAUGAAGGUUUUCGGAUCGUAAAGCUCUGUUGCCAGGGAAGAACGUCUUCUGGAGUAACUGCCAGGAGAGUGACGGUACCUGAGAAGAAAGCCCCGGCUAACUACGUGCCAGCAGCCGCGGUAAUACGUAGGGGGCAAGCGUUGUCCGGAAUUAUGGGGCGUAAAGCGCGCGCAGGCGGCUGUUUAAGUCUGGGUGAUAAUCCUGGGGCUCAACUCCGGGUCGCACGGGAAACUGGACGGCUUGAGUGCAGAAGAGGAGAGUGGAAUUCCACGUGUAGCGGUGAAAUGCGUAGAGAUGUGGAGGAACACCAGUGGCGAAGGCGACUCUCUGGGCUGUAACUGACGCUGAGGCGCGAAAGCGUGGGGAGCAAAC